Molecule: ribosomal RNA, 254 nt
Filed under: uncultured bacterium
Lineage: Bacteria
Description: partial 16S ribosomal RNA
Rfam family: Bacterial small subunit ribosomal RNA
Source: RNAcentral
UACGUAGGAUCCAAGCGUUAUCCGGAAUUACUGGGCGUAAAGCGUACGUAGGUGGAGACUUAAGUGAGAUGCGAAAUCUGGCGGCUCAACCGUCUAGACUGUGUCUCAUACUGGGUUUCUUGAGGUUGGCAGAGGCAAGUGGAAUUUCCGGUGUAGCAGUGAAAUGCGUAGAGAUCGGAAGGAACACCAAUGGCGAAGGCAGCUUGCUGGGCCACACCUGACACUGAGGUACGAAAGCGUGGGGAGCGAACAGG